CGGACGGGUGAGUAAUGUCUGGGAAACUGCCCGAUGGAGGGGGAUAACUACUGGAAACGGUAGCUAAUACCGCAUAACGUCGCAAGACCAAAGAGGGGGACCUUCGGGCCUCUUGCCAUCGGAUGUGCCCAGAUGGGAUUAGCUAGUAGGUGGGGUAAUGGCUCACCUAGGCGACGAUCCCUAGCUGGUCUGAGAGGAUGAUCAGCCACACUGGAACUGAGACACGGUCCAG
This 232-nucleotide ribosomal RNA is filed under the name uncultured bacterium. Its description in RNAcentral is "partial 16S ribosomal RNA". It matches the Rfam family "Bacterial small subunit ribosomal RNA", at positions 99 to 334 of the family's 1533-position model. The record is from RNAcentral.